AACGAACGCUGGCGGCAUGCCUAACACAUGCAAGUCGAACGAAGGCUUCGGCCUUAGUGGCGCACGGGUGCGUAACGCGUGGGAAUCUGCCCUUGGGUUCGGAAUAACAGUGAGAAAUUACUGCGAAUGCCGGAUGAUGACUUCGGUCCAAAGAUUUAUCGCCCAAGGAUGAGCCCGCGUAAGAUUAGCUAGUUGGUGAGGUAAAGGCUCACCAAGGCGACGAUCUUUAGCUGGUCUGAGAGGAUGAUCAGCCACACUGGGACUGAGACACGGCCCAGACUCCUACGGGAGGCAGCAGUGGGGAAUAUUGGACAAUGGGCGAAAGCCUGAUCCAGCAAUGCCGCGUGAGUGAUGAGGGCCUUAGGGUUGUAAAGCUCUUUUACCAGGGAUGAUAAUGACAGUACCUGGAGAAUAAGCUCCGGCUAACUCCGUGCCAGCCGCCGCGGUAA
RNAcentral lists this ribosomal RNA (449 nucleotides) under uncultured bacterium. RNAcentral's name for it is "partial 16S ribosomal RNA". It matches the Rfam family "Bacterial small subunit ribosomal RNA", at positions 29 to 523 of the family's 1533-position model. The record is from RNAcentral.